RNAcentral lists this ribosomal RNA (694 nucleotides) under uncultured bacterium. RNAcentral describes it as "bacterial SSU rRNA". It matches the Rfam family "Bacterial small subunit ribosomal RNA", at positions 71 to 760 of the family's 1533-position model. The record is from RNAcentral.
AGCACGGGAGCAAUCCUGGUGGCGAGUGGCGAACGGGUGAGUAAUGUAUCGGAACGUACCUUUCAGUGGGGGAUAACGUAGCGAAAGUUACGCUAAUACCGCAUAUUCUGUGAGCAGGAAAGCAGGGGAUCGCAAGACCUUGCGCUGAUUGAGCGGCCGAUAUCAGAUUAGCUAGUUGGUGAGGUAAAGGCUCACCAAGGCGACGAUCUGUAGCGGGUCUGAGAGGAUGAUCCGCCACACUGGAACUGAGACACGGUCCAGACUCCUACGGGAGGCAGCAGUGGGGAAUUUUGGACAAUGGGGGCAACCCUGAUCCAGCCAUUCCGCGUGAGUGAAGAAGGCCUUCGGGUUGUAAAGCUCUUUCGGCAGGAACGAAACGGUCUCACCUAAUACGUGGGGCUAAUGACGGUACCUGAAGAAGAAGCACCGGCUAACUACGUGCCAGCAGCCGCGGUAAUACGUAGGGUGCGAGCGUUAAUCGGAAUUACUGGGCGUAAAGCGUGCGCAGGCGGUUAUGUAAGACAGGUGUGAAAUCCCCGGGCUUAACCUGGGAACUGCGCUUGUGACUGCAUAACUCGAGUGUGGCAGAGGGGGGUGGAAUUCCACGUGUAGCAGUGAAAUGCGUAGAUAUGUGGAGGAACACCGAUGGCGAAGGCAGCCCCCUGGGCCGAUACUGACGCUCAUGCACGAAAGC